GCGAAACCGCGAAUGGCUCAUUAAAUCAGUUAUGGUUCCUUGGAUCGUACUUUACUACUUGGAUAACUGUGGCAAUUCUAGAGCUAAUACAUGCAGCAGAGCUCCGACCUUCGGGGACGAGCGCUUUUAUUAGACCAAAACCAAUCGGGCCUCGUGUCCGUGAAACGUGGUGACUCUGUAUAACUUUGGGCUGAUCGCACGGGCUCGUCCCGGCGACGUAUCCUUCAAGUGUCUGCCUUAUCAACUGUCGAUGGUAGGUUAUGCGCCUACCAUGGUCGUAACGGGUGACGGGGAAUCAGGGUUCGAUUCCGGAGAGGGAGCCUGAGAAACGGCUACCACAUCCAAGGAAGGCAGCAGGCGCGCAAAUUACCCAAUGUCAGUUCGACGAGGUAGUGACGAAAAAUAACAAUACGGGACUCUUUUGAGACCCCGUAAUUGGAAUGAGUACACUCUAAAUCCUUUAACGAUUAUCAAUUGGAGGGCAAGCCUAGUGCCAGCAGCCGCGGUAAUUCUAGCUCCAAUAGCGUAUAUUAAAGUUGUUGCGGUUAAAAAGCUCGUAGUUGGAUCUCAGUUCCAGACGGGCGGUCCGCCUACCGGCGGCCACUGCCCGUUCUGAACAGGCCAGCCGGUUUCCCUUGAUGAUCUUCACCGGUUGUCUCGGGUGACCGGCAAGUUUACUUUGAAAAAAUUAGAGUGCUCAAAGCAGGCGCGACGCCUGAACAAUGGUGCAUGGAAUAAUGGAAUAGGACCUCGGUUCUAUUUUGUUGGUUUUCGGAACACGAGGUAAUGAUUAAGAGGGACAGACGGGGGCAUUCGUAUUGCGACGCUAGAGGUGAAAUUCUUGGACCGUCGCAAGACGAACUACUGCGAAAGCAUUUGCCAAGAAUGUUUCCAUUAAUCAAGAACGAAAGUUAGAGGUUCGAAGGCGAUCAGAUACCGCCCUAGUUCUAACCAUAAACGAUGCCAGCCAGCGAUCCGGCUGUGUUCCUCAAAUGACACGCCGGGCAGCUUCCGGGAAACCAAAGCUUCGGUUCCGGUUAACCUGUUAGAGGG
This 1053-nucleotide ribosomal RNA is filed under the name Himalaphantes azumiensis. RNAcentral describes it as "SSU rRNA". It matches the Rfam family "Eukaryotic small subunit ribosomal RNA", at positions 81 to 1116 of the family's 1831-position model. Lineage: Eukaryota; Metazoa; Arthropoda; Arachnida; Araneae; Linyphiidae. The record is from RNAcentral.